RNAcentral lists this long non-coding RNA (2610 nucleotides) under Marmota monax (woodchuck). Lineage: Eukaryota; Metazoa; Chordata; Mammalia; Rodentia; Sciuridae. The record is from RNAcentral.
GAUUAUCAAAAUAUCAAGAAUUAAAUAUUAAUGUAAUUCUUUGUGCUGGAUAAUUCCUAUAAAGUAACAGAUAAUGGGUAAUUUCCUGAUGUUAUUGAGUAUUAUAUGGCAUCUAAACAUCUAAAGUUUGUCGGAGAGUGUGGAGAACUACGAAUUAUUACGUUAAACCCUCUGCAAAUCUUUGCCACCACAUCAGCAUCUUUCUUAGUGGAAGGAAACAUCAGCAGUACAAGGGAAAAAAAUGUGUCCAACUUAUGGUAAAGUGUCCACACAACAAAGCCCCAUGUACACGUGAUAGCUCACUGCUCUCCAAGGUCACAGAACAGCUACGACAGCUGAGACUUGGGAGGCUGAGGUGGGAGGAUCAAGAGUUCAAGGCCAGCCUGGGCAACAUAGAGAGACUCUGUCCAAAACAAAAAUUAAAAAAAAAAAAGAUAGGAAAUGUAGCUUGGAGGUAGAGCAUCCCUGGGCUCAACCAGUAUAAAAAGAGAGAAAAAGAGAAAAGCUAUAAUAGCUUAAGUAUGUAGAUCAUUUUGAGGUUUAUCAUUCAUAAUGUUUUCAAAUCCUACUAAAGUUUUUGCACAAAUGAAACAUCUUCCAGCUGGUAGAUAUGGGGAAACGUUGAGGUUCAAAGUGUCAUGUACUAAGGGUGGGGAGAGAUGACAGUUGCAUUUGUUCGUAUUUGCCUAGGGUAUCUCUCAAAAUCGAUGCAAGAGGAAAUUGCUUAAGUUAGUCUCUGGAAAGAGAAAAUAUUGCUUAUGUACAUAUGUACUGCAUGAUUAUGUACUUGUGUAUGUAGUUGUACAUAUGUUCCUCAUAUAUACUUGAUUGAUGCAUGUAUACAGACGUAUACUUAAAAAAAUUUUUUUGUAGUUGUAAAUGAACAAAAUGCCUUUAUUUUAUUUGUUUAUUUUUGUGUGGUCCUAAGGAUCGAACCUAGUGCCUCACACAUGCUGGACAAGCGCUCUGCCACUGAGCAGCAACCCAGCCCCCAUGCAUAGACUUUUGUGUUUGUCAUUGUCUAGGCAUAUGAAUGUUGUCUAUUCAAAACAAUAAGUGUGCUUUAGAACUUACACAGAAUGGUAUGUCUACACUGGGCAGAUGGCCCAGUCUACCACAUUCCCUUAGUGUCCAUAGCUGACCAGUGCAAGUGGAGAUGUACUAAGGUCUGACCUGGUCCAGGCCAAACCACUCUAACCCAUGGGAGUUUGGAAAUAUCAGUGAAUCUCAAUGGAGUUGGAAGGUGGCUGGAAUGGGUCGUCAAUUGCCCUGCCCAGAGUGGAGUUUCUGAGUUCCUGGUCACACUUCCCUAGCACGGCCUUGACUCCUCCCCUCCUGGAGACCUGGAUAGUCAGGUUUCCUUCAGUUUCCUGAGCUGCACGAACAGUCUUCCAGUAAAUCCAUGUUUACCUUAAAUUAGCUCCAAAUAAUGUCUGUUGCUUACUAUAAAAACAAUCUUGGCCAAUACCGUUAUCUUUCUUGACUAACCCUUCCCUAUCUUGGUAAAAGGGUUAAUGUAUCAACCGAACUCACAAUCUCCGAACACAGUCCUGUAAGCCCCGGACCUCUUUACUUGGAUUUCUAAAGUACCCCCGCACAUUUAUAAAAGAGCAUUUUAAAUGAAUCCCCUACCGGAAGCCAUUUCUCCCUCUUCACCUUACAGACUUAGGAUAAGUGAUCCUGGUGGCAUCUACACCUCUGGGUGGGGCUCCCCAGCCUCAGUGACACUCUCGAUGCACAAGCACAGAUUCACAGUUUCAGGUCCAGGAAAGAUGCCAAGUAUGGCCCUUUACCAUGAAGAGUGUGGCUCUUUACCAUCCUAUGCCAGAUGUCAGGAGUGUGUGCUCCCAGAAGCCUAACCAGUGGGUAGUCUUAAUGUAACAACAUGAUAUAUUAUUUCUCAUUUUGGAACAUCAUCUACACAGGUGCUUUGGUAGGAAACUAAGGAAAUAUUCCUUGACAUAUACACUAAUGCACUUUUGAAAAAUUGUUCUAAAAUACACAUAACUUUUUUUUGUAGUUGUAAAUGAACAAAAUGCCUUACCCAUUAAGUGCACAGUUCAGGAGCAUUCUAUACAUUCAGGCUGUUGUACACCUGUGGCCACCAUCUGUUUCCAGAACUUCCUCAUCUUCCCCAACUGCAACGCUCUCCCCAUUAAACACUAGCUACCCACUCCCUUCAUUCUACCUUCUUUGUCUAUGAAUCUGCUGACUCUUAGGAUCUCAUACACACGGAAUCAUGCAGUAUGUUUCCUUUUGUGACUGGCUUAUUUGACCAUCAUCCAGACUCAUUGAGUGGCUUCAGAGUGUCCAGGCAGGGAACAUCCCCCAGUGAGCCCAGAACCUGGAGGCUAUGGGAGUUGAGGGAGAUAGGAAUCAUGAACUCUGGAGAGACAGGUGGAUUUGGAGGGCCUGCAGUUCAGGGUUCCAUCUGGCAAGUAACUUGUGCUGUUCAUGUGCAUCUUGGGUAUCAAAUGGGAAGGAGUGGUCUGGGGAAGAACCUACCUUUGGCUAGGUUGGUCCCUGUAGUCUCACCCUCCAUUUCUUCCCCAUACUGAGGCCCAGGUAGUCUCCUUCAUGUAUUCAACUGGCAUGCUAACAGGGGCUGGA